GGGCCCGCACAAGCGGUGGAGCAUGUGGUUUAAUUCGAUGCAACGCGAAGAACCUUACCAGGACUUGACAUACUACGAAUUCUUCUGAGAAGAAGAAGUGCCUUCGGGAAUGUAGAUACAGGUGGUGCAUGGCUGUCGUCAGCUCGUGUCGUGAGAUGUUGGGUUAAGUCCCGCAACGAGCGCAACCCUUAUUUUUAGUUACUAAUUCGUUAGGUUCUCUAGAAAGACUGCCGGUGACAAACCGGAGGAAGGUGAGGAUGACGUCAAGUCAGCAUGCCCCUUAUGUCCUGGGCUACACACGUGCUACAAUGGUUAAGACAAAGAGUCGCGAGCUUGUGAAAGUCAGCUAAUCUCAUAAACUUAGCCUAAGUUCAGAUUGUAGGCUGCAACUCGCCUACAUGAAGUUGGAAUC
Molecule: ribosomal RNA, 412 nt
Filed under: uncultured bacterium
Lineage: Bacteria
Description: bacterial SSU rRNA
Rfam family: Bacterial small subunit ribosomal RNA
Source: RNAcentral